CGCGGCCUAUCAGCUUGUUGGUGGGGUGAUGGCCUACCAAGGCGUCGACGGGUAGCCGGCCUGAGAGGGUGACCGGCCACACUGGGACUGAGAUACGGCCCAGACUCCUACGGGAGGCAGCAGUGGGGGAUAUUGCAUAAUGGGCGCAAGCCUGAUGCAGCGACGCCGCGUGAGGGAUGACGGCUUUCGGGUUGUAAACCUCUUUUACUAUUGAACAAGGCGCCAUAUUGGUGGUGUUGAGGGUAGGUGGUGAAUAAGCGCCGGCUAACUACGUGCCAGCAGCCGCGGUAAUACGUAGGGCGCGAGCGUUGUCCGGAAUUAUUGGGCGUAAAGAGCUCGUAGGCGGCUUGUCGCGUCUGCUGUGAAAUCCUGGGGCUUAACUCUGGGCGUGCAGUGGGUACGGGCAGGCUAGAGUGCGGUAGGGGUGAUUGGAAUUCCUGGUGUAGCGGUGGAAUGCGCAGAUAUCAGGAGGAACACCGAUGGCGAAGGCAGGUCACUGGGCCGUUACUGACGCUGAGGAGCGAAAGCAUGGGGAGCGAACAGGAUUAGAUACCCUGGUAGUCCAUGCUGUAAACGUUGGGCACUAGGUGUGGGGGGCCUUUCCGGGUUUUCUGCGCCGUAGCUAACGCAUUAAGUGCCCCGCCUGGGGAGUACGGA
Molecule: ribosomal RNA, 657 nt
Filed under: uncultured Actinomycetes bacterium
Lineage: Bacteria; Bacillati; Actinomycetota; Actinomycetes
Description: bacterial SSU rRNA
Rfam family: Bacterial small subunit ribosomal RNA
Source: RNAcentral